Molecule: ribosomal RNA, 253 nt
Filed under: uncultured bacterium
Lineage: Bacteria
Description: partial 16S ribosomal RNA
Rfam family: Bacterial small subunit ribosomal RNA
Source: RNAcentral
UACGGGGGGGGCAAGCGUUGUUCGGAAUUACUGGGCGUAAAGGGUUCGUAGGUGGCCAAGUAAGUCAGACGUGAAAUCCCUCAGCUUAACUGGGGAACUGCGUCUGAUACUGGUUGGCUUGAGUGCAGGAGAGGAAUGCGGAAUUCCAGGUGUAGCGGUGAAAUGCGUAGAUAUCUGGAGGAACACCGGUGGCGAAGGCGGCGUUCUGGACUGCAACUGACACUGAGGAACGAAAGCCAGGGGAGCAAACGGG